This is a long non-coding RNA of Dama dama (fallow deer), 8927 nucleotides long. RefSeq lists it as uncharacterized. The transcript is spliced from 2 exons. The record is from RefSeq and is a predicted model, not a curated record. Lineage: Eukaryota; Metazoa; Chordata; Mammalia; Artiodactyla; Cervidae.
AGCCACACCAGCAUGGUAUCAGCUCCCUGGGUCUCUCCUCCCACUGACGGACACCAAACCAGAGGGGCCAGGUGACAGGCUACACACUGUGACAAGCAGUGGAGGCAAGAGAUGGCUGCUGCUAAGGAGUCAACUCUAACUACAGCUCAGCAGUUUCACAGUCUCGAGGGGAGGGCAAGCGGAAAUUACCAAGCUUAACUGAAACCAGGAGAUGGGAAACGGCCCAGUGGACUUUCUCACAAGGCUGCUUAUCUCUCUCUGUUCCUGGAGGAACAGGCACCCCCACCCCGGACUGUAAUUAGGCCUUGCUGCUGUGCCCUGCCAGGAGACAGGCAAGGUCAGGGCACCAGUGCAAAGCUGCCCCCUACAAGGAUUAUCAACAAUAUAAUCGCUGUUAUUCUUGGUAAGGUUAAAACGGCCACUUCAGCAAUCAGAAAAAAUUAAUCAAUUUCUAGAUCCAGCUCUGAAAAAGUUAAAAGCCCAAUACUGUUUUAAUUCCCCUCCCUCCACACACGUGAAUCCAGAAUCUCAAUGACACAAGCACAGGGGAAUUAAGCACCUGAGAGACAGGACAAGCCUCUGUUGAACCACCCACUGGGUACUAGGUGCUGCGCUAGAAACCAGAGCCUGGACUCCUGACUGUGACUCUGUAUCCCUUUACUGCACCCUUCUUGUGUCCGGAUCCCUUUCUUUUCUGUCUUCCCAAAAAGGUAAAGAUAUAUGGUAUAAAAUUGAAUAAAAGCUAGUACAACAUAGCUUUCCUGUACCACUCGGCUGAAGGAAGGUGGGAUGGGUGGAAAGCUCUUAAAAAAAAAAAUUUGAGUUCAUUUUUACUGAUGACAAACAAAUUUAUUAUCAUAAUCACUGAUAAGGCAGCUAUUAGGCUGCCUUUCCAAAGAGGCACUGAAACUUUCUCAAGAAAAGAAAAAAAAAAAAAAAAAAACACCUAAUUUCAUCAUUAGUAUCUUAUGAAACCUAUCACUACAAUCAUUGCAUACCCCUUUGUUAAACUUUGGUCAUAGGAGUAUCAUUCUUGAUUCUUUUCUCUAAUUUUUUCCCUCAAAGUCCUUUGCUAAAUUCAUCCCCUUGCUAAGAACCUGUGACACAUGAAAGAGGCGAAUCAAAACCAAGUUUUCUCCAUUGUCUCAGGUCUUUUAAAAACACUGAUCACAAUCAACCUUAAAAUGGCAACCACUAGAACAAACAACAAAGGCCCAGCAACACAGCACCAUUAAUUCAAGUGGGACUUUGCACAAAGUAUUGAGAAAUAUUAUUUUUAAGUCUUUAAAAUGUACAAACUCAGUGCUAGGAGCUUAAUUCUAGGAACUGCUUCAUAACAUUAGCAAACAGUAUUUACUCAGUACUGACUACUCUGCCCAAAGCUCUAUACACCACAGCAUCAUGUACAUCUCUGAUGGCCUCUGAGGCAAAGCAGGUGACUGAGGAGUGACCCUCAACCUAGCUACUCCACAGGUAAUGACCUACUACUCUGCACUGUUUCUCCAGACAAAUGUGGAAGGCACAGGUAUGCACAAAAAUUUAGCUACAAAAUACUUUAAAAAUUGAUAAAAUUCUUUUCAACAUCAGCCUGACCUUUCUCCCUAAAGUUCAUCUCAAAGCCCUACCCGCCCUGAUAUGCAGUUCCAACACACUGAAUUUGCUCUCACAAUAAGCUCCUAAGUAUUCUCAGAAUCACUAGACAGACCCCAGUUCACUUCAGAGAACUCUCAUUUAGAAGGCGCUCAAGAUGUCAUGUAGUUGAACACUAAAGUUACUAUGCCACUAUUAUCCUGAUUUGUUGCAAGUCAUUUUCAGUCACUCUUUCUCUUUCCCCAACAGAUAUUACAUCAGGCAUAAAGCAUCUCAAAAUAAAACAUGAGAAAUGAUAAGGGUGCAGAAGCGGAGAGCGAGCACAACACUGAAUGACUGGGACAUGAGGAGGAGGAGAUCUUUCGAACUGAAUUAUCAACCUCAAAAUUUCAAGAAUUUUUUAAUUUUAAGGUCUGCCUUUUAUUGUAUUAAGAUUACGACUUGUAAGAUCACUUCUUAAAUUCACCAGGUUCAACCUGGUUGCACACAUGUAAGUUACAAACAACAUUAUUGAGUCUCACUGCAUAUAUGACAAAUAUCACCUAGGUACCCCAAAUGCACUAUUUCUAACCUUCACAAUAAACAAGACAAGUAUCUCCAUUUUACAGAUAAGAACUCAAGCUCAAAGGUAGGUAGUUUAUUCAAGGUCUCAAGAGUGUAAAUGGCAAAACAGCCUAGUUUCCAAUCUUACUGAGACUUUCUAAUUGCUAAAGCCCAAUCAAUUUUAACUUUGCUGUCUCUCCACGUCACACUGGACCUCUCACAAGAAGCUACACUCAACAGUGUGUCUUCUUCUGCUCCUUCUUCACUCACUGCCCAACCACGCACUUUCCUUCUGUCCAAUGGUAAACACACACAUCCCUGUGACCCACCCCUCGCCGCCGGCUCUUCCCCACUCUCCCUGGGUCAUUCUAUCUAUGGUCAAGGGUUCUCAGGUUUCAGUCCCCCACUAUCAAGCUUGGAUAAACUCACUAUAUCCAAAAUCUAGUGCCUACAUUGGAAGUGCCAAGUGGAAACUCCCUUUAUUUUUCCCCCUCCACCAUCCACCAGGCUUCUGACAUUUUAUCUGAGUCUGACCCGCAGUGUCAUGACUUAAACAUCUGGUAGCUGAGGUGCAACGGCCACAAUAUAAACUUAAGAGCCAAGAAUAAUGCUUUACUUCCCUUAUGUUUCACAUCGAGUUUUAUUUGCUCUAAAUGUUUCUUAAAUCUGCCCCUUUUGUCCAUUUCAACAACUGCUCCUUCACUACUCCUACGUGUAUUUACUGCAAUUUAUCCUACACAGCAGUCGAUCUGUUUAAAAACAAACAUAUGUUUAAAAACAAACAAACCAACAACCCCACACCAUUUGUCUGCUUUAAACCCUUCUGGUUUCUAUGAUGAAAUCCAAGGUCCGUAAUUCAGCCUAUAAGACCCUUCCCAUGAUUCCCAGCCUCUAUCUACCUUUCCAGUACUCCAUGACUUUAGUGCCUAAGGAAUUUCAUGUUCAAGUCCAUAUUCAUCUCUUUACUCCACAUUAAGACCAUCUGCACCUCUCCCUUUAUUCUGGCAGGGGUGGGGGCACUCCCUCCCUGGGUCCGCACGUAUCCUCCUAUGGAGAGCCUGACAGUCUCCUAUCUUUAUCUGCCACUCAUUCUUCAAGAGAACUAAGGUGUUGAGCUGUCCAGGAUGCGUCCUUUUCAGUCCCAUCACUAUCACGGAAUUUGCCACACUGCAUUACUACCUACUUACCCAUCUACCCAUCUUCAGGCCAGACUGAGAUCGUGGAGGGUCAAUCGUCUCUCAGAGUAACAGCUCUUGGCAUAGUGCUCGGCACUUCUCAAACGCUCCCUAAGUAUUAGCUGAAUGAGCUAACCAACACAACUUGUAGAUAGACAACUACUUCUGCCCAUUCCCACGGCUGUGAAACCUAGACCUUUCACUUGUCUCUUCUGCAUGAUUAGACCAUAUUAAGCAGUGCCUACUGCAAGAGAUACAGGUUCGAUCCCUGGGUCAGGAAGAUCCCCUGGAAAAGGGAAUGGCUACCCAUCCAAUGCAAAGAAAUAGAGGAAAACAACAGAAUGGGAAAGACUGGAGAUCUCUUCAAGAAAAUUAUAGAUACCAAGGGAACAUUUCAGGCAAAGACAGGUUCGAUAAAGGACAGAAAUGGUAUGGACCUAACAAAAGCAGAAGAUAUUAAGAAGAGGUGGCAAGAAUACACAGAAGAACUGUACAAAAAAUAUCUUCACGACCCAGAUAAUCACGAUGGUGUGAUCACUCACCUAGAGUCAGACAUCCUGGAAUGUGAAGUGAAGUGGGCCUUAGAAAGCCUCACUACUAACAAAGCUAGUGGAGGUGAUGGAAUUCCAGUUAAGCUAUUUCAAAUCCUGAAAGAUGAUGCUGUGGAAGUGCUGCACUCAAUAGGCCAGCAAAUUUAGAAAACUCAGCAGUGGCCACAGGACUGGAAAACGUCAGUUUUCAUUCCAAUGCCAAAGAAUGCUCAAACUGCCGCACAAUUGCGCUCACCUCACACACUAGUAAAGUAUUGCUUAAAAUUCUCCAAGCCAGGCUUCAGCAAUACCUGAACCAUGAACUUCCAGAUGUUCAAGCUGGUUUUAGAAAAGGCCAAGGACCCAAAGAUCAAAUUGCCAACAUCUGCUGGAUCAUCGAAAAAGCAAGAGAGUUGUAGAAAAACAUCUAUUUCUGCUUUAUUGACUAUGCCAAAGCCUUGGACAGUGUGGAUCACAAUAAACUGUGGAAAAUUCUGAUAGAGAUAGGAAUACCAAACCACCUGAUCUGCCUCUUGAGAAACCUAUAUGCAGGUCAGGAAGCAACAGUUAAGAACUGGACAUGGAACAACAGACUGGUUCCAAAUAGGAAAAGGAGUACGUCAAGGCUGUAUACUGUCACCCCGCUUAUUUAACUUAUAUGCAGAGUACAUCAUGAGAAACGCUGGGCUGGAAGAAGCACAAGCUGGAAUCAAGAUUGCCAGGAGAAAUAUCAAUAACCUCAGAGAUGCAGAUGACACCACCCUUAUGGCAGAAAGUGAAGAGGAACUAAAAAGCCUCUUGAUGAAAGUGAAAGAGGAGAGUGAAAAAGUUGGCUCAAAGCUCAACAUUCAGAAAACUAAGAUCAUGGCAUCCGGUCCCAUCACUUCAUGGCAAGUAGAUGGGGAAACAGUGGCUGACUUUAUUUUCUUGGGCUCCCAAAUCACUGCAGAUGGUGAUUGCAGCCAUGAAAUUAAAAGACGCUUACUCCUUGGAAGCAAAGUUAUGACCAACCUAGAUAGCAUAUUAAAAAGCAGAGACAUUACUUUGCCAACAAAGGUCUGUCUGGUCAAGGCUAUGGUUUUUCCAGUGGCCAUGUAGAGAUGUGAGUUGGACUGUGGAGAAAGCUGAGCACCGAAGAAUUGAUGCUUUUGAACUGUGGUGUUGGAGAAGACUCUUGAGAGUCCCUUGGACUGCAAGGAGAUCCAACCAGCCCAUCCUAAAGGAGAUCAGUCCUGGAUGUUCACCGGGAGGACUGAUGCUGAAACUGAAACUCCAAUACUUUGGCCACCUCAUGCGAAGAGUUGACUCAUUGGAAAAGACCCUGAUGCUGGGAAAGGUUGAAGGCAGGAGAAGAAGGGGACGACAGAGGAUGAGAUGGUUGGAUAAAACCACCAACUCAAUGGACAUGCGUUUGGGUAAACUCUGGGAGUUGGUGAUGGACAGGGAGGCCUGGCACGCUGCGAUUCAUGGGGUUGCGAAGUGUCGGACAGGACUGAGCGACUGAACUGAACUGAACUGAACCCAUCCAGUAUUAUUGCCUGGAGAACUUCAUGGACAAAGCAGCCAGUGAGCUACCAUCCAUGGGGUCGCAAAGAGUCAGACAUGACUGAGUGACUAUCGGCAGGACACACAGGAAUUCAGUGUAAGGUGGAUGCUAGGUCUACCCCCUCCUCCCUUCAUACAUGCUAAUGGAAGUGUGCCUCCUCUAUCAACUUGGAACUAUAUAACUGCUCUAAUUCUCAUUUCAUCUCUGGAUUUCUUCUCUGCUAUUCAUGUGAAGUUUGCUAAAUCCUUCUAAAUAUUUCUCCCAUACAUACUGUUCCUAUAAGUCUUAAGCUUUCUAGUGAGUGGCCAACCAUUACUCUUUGGAGGUAUCCUUUGGUUUCGCAUGUAAAUAUUAUCUCAGAGAUGUCUUAGUUUUUUUAAACGCUCAUAUGUUGAUAGUUAUUCGAGAACUAAAUCUUUACAAUUAAGGAUCUUGUUCCAGACCAAAAAACUGGAUUUUAUGUAACUGAAAUUUCCUCCAACACAAUUAUGUGUACUUGGUGUUCAUACAAUCACUGAUACUUCUAAGGAAAAAUCAAAGCAUUGCGUGUGUUUUAAAGGAACAGCAGUGAAGGGACUCUUUGGGUAAUGCUUCCACGGCAAUAUUAGUUUUCUAUUCCCUGACCUCUUAAUGAUUUGCUUUUAGAAACAAGUCACACUGCAGAGAAAGUUAAAACCUCUGCACAAUCAGUACACAAGAUAAACUUGUCUUGGGAAAAUUCAACAUUCAGUAAUUGUCCUGCCUCAUGGGCACUUUCAGAACAUGCACUUAAGAGCCAAGGAAGACUGCUGGUUAAACAGGUAGAGUCAGCAAGGCAACUCUGGAUGAGAAAGAACACCCAGAGCAUCAGAAUACCAUAGUCUUGAACCGGAACAAAACCCUACACUUUAAAACCAAAAUUUCAUGAUUAGACCAUAUUAUCCCAAGCCAUUUCCUUGGCUUGGGACUAUGUGCACCUAGUCUUAGAUCAAAAGAUAACUGGAGCGGUGUCUCUUCUACAUUGGAUCAAUGCAAAAGUAAAAGCAAUUACUGUCUUCUCAACAGCAAGUACACCACAAGGGGAAACAAUAGACUUGCACCAAAGUGUGCUACACAGAACUACACAGCAAAAUGAAUAUACAGUUCAAUUCCCUGGUGGCUCUGAUGGUAGAGAAUUAGCCUGCAAUGUGUGAGACCUGGGUUCGAUCCCUGGGUCGGGAAGAUCCCCUGGAGGAGGGCAUGGCAGCCCACUCCAGUAUUCUUGCCUGGAGAAUCCCCAUGGACAGAGAGGAGCCGGGCGGGCUGCAGUCCACGGGGUCUCAGAGUCGGACACGACUGAGCGACUUGGCACAGCACAGCAAAAGGAAGGAGUCGGCUUUGCUCGGGAUGGUGGUUACACAAGUGAACGCACGCUUCAAGACCCAUCUCACUGUACACUUAAGCUAUUGUAUUUUGCUUUUUACACCUCAAAAAAAAAAAAAAAAAGAGAGGCUCAAGAAGGGAAAAGCGACCACGACAUCACUCAACAGCAGGAACACACGGAAGUUCAGCGCCUGGUUUUCGAGUGUUUUUCUUUAUCCCCGAGAAUUUGGGUCCUACGUCUCCGACGCGACAGAGGCCAGCAUCCCUCGUCACCCUCGGGGGCCGACGCGGCUCCCCGCCCGCUCGGAACUGCACCCCCAACUUCCGGGACUCGCUGCCGCCGCCUCUCGCGCCAAAACGCGCUCUCUCCUCCAAGCCCUCCCAGGCCGGUCCCCACUGUCUUCCUUCCCAACCAACUCGCGGAGAUUCUCACAGAGUGCUUGGACCCAAGAGUCUGCAUUUUUAGUGAGCACCCCACAUGCUUCUCUUGGAGGCACUCCAUCAGCAACUGUUUGUGGAAAAGAAAAGUGGAUCAAAGCCACUCAAAUUACUGGGAACUGUCUCUGAGAAUGCACUGAAGCAACGAGGGACACACACACGUCAGUUGUCCACUUUAUCAAAGUUUCAGCAUUGCACACUCCAUGAACUUAGACGGAGAGAAACAAAGGUCAGCAUCAUAUCAGACUUCUUACCGGAAACCAUGCAUAGUAGAAGACAGUGGGGUGACAUAUUCAGAGUUUUAAAAGGGAAAAAAAAAAAAAAGGUGACCUAGAAUUUUGUAUCCAGCGCAGUUAUCCUUCAAAAGUAAAAGAGAAAUACAGAUCUUCUCAGAGAAGCAAAAGUAGACCUGCCUUGCAAGAAACAGUUUUAACAGUUCAUCAGAGAGAAGGAAAAGGAUAAGGGUCAGAAACUCAGAUCUACAUAAAGAAGAGUCAGAGAAGAAAUAGUGAAGAAUCUUAGAUUGCCCUUGGAAGCUGUUACUGUUAAUGGUGCUGACUGUUAUCUGAAUCCCCUACUCCUGGAAAACAGUGACAAUUAAGAGAUUUCUCAUACUUUGUGUUUGGAGAAAAAGCUCACUGCAAGGAACCCAUCUCCCCCGUAAGACUAAAUGAGACUUAUAGGAGUACCUUGAUUACUUAUGAAAAGGCCAGACACAGACCCUCCAAAUUUCCAUGCUUUAUCUCUUAAAUGAGCCGAACUAUUUUGUCCCCGCUGAUCAAUGGGAGCAAAUGUGUGUUAGUCAAACCUUGGUUAAACUUCUGUCAUGACAUAUUUUGAAAUGGCUACUACCUCACCCACCAGCCAAACAAGGGGAUUUUUCUCCCAUCUCCACCAUGAGAACCUGAUGGGGGUGCUGGAGAUAAAAUCCAUGAAAAUGUAGGGGAUCCUUGCUUAAUCUGUUAGCCCGUCGUCAGUGUCCAGCAGUGAGCUGUGGGAACCACAGAAGCCCUGCUCCUGGUCCCAGAGCUUCUGCUGUGCAGUCCUGUUUUUUCAGUCCUCACCUGUCUGUAGUUUUCAGGGUGUUGGCUUAUCCCGGGACCUCAAUUCUCUGAUGGAGCUAAGACAAUUCAUUGACUUUCAGUUUGUGCAGGUCUUCGCUGGUAGCUCAGACGGUAAAGAAUCUGCUUACAGUGCAGGAAACCUGGGUUUGAUUCCUGGGUCGGGAAGAUCCCCUGGAGAAGGAAAUGGCAACCCACUCCAGUCCUCUUGCCUGGACAAUCCCAUGGACAGAAGAGCCUAGUGGGCUACAGUCUAUGGGGUUGCACAGAGUCGGACAUGACUGAGCGACUAACACUUUCACGCUUUCAGUUUAUGCAGCUCUUUUCUCGUUCUGAGGGAUGGAGACAUGAGUUCCAAGCUUUUUGUUUUGUUUUUACACUUAAUUUUUUAACUCCCACAAGAAUCAUAUACCAGUAACCUAGGAAUUCACCUAUUUCUUUCAGAUAAUACAGCCUUAAAAAAAUGUGAGUGAGCUGUGACUCAUAUCUGGGUUUCUUUUCCCCAUGUAGUGUGAGCAAUCUUUUCUUUAAAAAAAAAAAAAAAAGUUGACAUAUACCAAAGAGUUCCAGAAAUUAGUGUUUCAGUACCAGCCUGUUCCUAGUUAGCCUUUUUUUUUUCUUUGUAAUGAGACAUUUUAAGAAUGGCCUUCCCUCCUCCUUUCUUUCCUUUUAGUCUUCAGUUAUUAAAUUAAAUGUAAACUCA